Molecule: ribosomal RNA, 624 nt
Filed under: uncultured bacterium
Lineage: Bacteria
Description: bacterial SSU rRNA
Rfam family: Bacterial small subunit ribosomal RNA (bases 1-526)
Source: RNAcentral
CCUACCGGGAGGGCAGCAGUGGGGGAAGUCUUGCGCAAUGGGCGAAAGCCUGACGCAGCCAUGCCGCGUGAAUGAUGAAGGUCUUAGGAUUGUAAAAUUCUUUUCACCGGGGACGAUAAUGACGGUACCCGGAGAAGAAGCCCCGGCUAACUUCGUGCCAGCAGCCGCGGUAAUACGAAGGGGGGCUAGCGUUGCUCGGAAUUACUGGGCGUAAAGGGAGCGUAGGCGGAUAGUUUAGUCAGAGGUGAAAGCCCAGGGCUCAACCUUGGAAUUGCCUUUGAUACUGGCUAUCUUGAGUAUGGGAGAGGUUAGCGGAACUCCGAGUGUAGAGGUGAAAUUCGUAGAUAUUCGGAAGAACACCAGUGGCGAAGGCGGCUAACUGGCCCAUUACUGACGCUGAGGCUCGAAAGCGUGGGGAGCAAACAGGAUUAGAUACCCGGGGUAGUCCACGCCGUAAACGAUGAGUGCUAGUUGUCGGCAUGCANGCAUGUCGGUGACGCGAGCUACGACAUAAGUACACUCCGUCCGUCGGGUAGGUACGGUCGCGAAGAAGUUAAACGUAACAAAGUAAGUAAGUUAGUUACGGACGUGAGACGUAGCCGACGGCGACGACGAGGGAGGAGG